AGCGAACGCUGGCGGCAUGCCUAACACAUGCAAGUCGCACGGGGGGGCUUCGGCCUCCCAGUGGCGGACGGGUGAGGAACGCGUAGGGACCUGUCGAGGGGUGGGGGAUAACCGCGGGAAACUUCGGCUAAUACCGCAUGACGCCGCGGCGUGACAGCCGGGGCCAAAGGCGAGAGCCGCCCGCCGAGGGGCCUGCGUCCGAUUAGCUGGUUGGCGGGGUAGCGGCCCACCAAGGCGGCGAUCGGUAGCUGGUCUGAGAGGGUGAUCAGCCACACCGGGACUGAGACACGGCCCGGACUCCUACGCGAGGCAGCAGUGGGGAAUAUUGGACACUGGGCGCAAGCCUGAUCCAGCAAUGCCGCGUGGGUGAAGAAGGUCUUCGGAUUGUAAAGCCCUUUCGGAGGGGACGAUGGUGACGGUACCCGCAGAAGAAGCCCCGGCUAACUUCGUG
RNAcentral lists this ribosomal RNA (451 nucleotides) under uncultured bacterium. RNAcentral's name for it is "partial 16S ribosomal RNA". It matches the Rfam family "Bacterial small subunit ribosomal RNA", at positions 28 to 507 of the family's 1533-position model. The record is from RNAcentral.